Non-coding RNA from Pteropus alecto (black flying fox), 119 nucleotides. The record is from Rfam. NCBI's taxonomy places the organism in Eukaryota, Metazoa, Chordata, Mammalia, Chiroptera, Pteropodidae.
GUCUACGGCCAUGCCACCCUGAACAAGCCCUAUCUCGACUGAUCUCGGAAGCUAAGCAGGGGCAGGUCUGGUUAGUACUUGGAUGGGAGACCACUUAGGAAGACCAGGUGCUAUAGGCA